CGAUGCCCAUCCUUGGUUAUAUGCGCGAUGCCAGCAGACCUCAUGGAAACCACAGGAAUGUUCCUCCAAACCCACAGACUGCUCCGAACUGCAACCCAGACUAGUUGGUAAGUCUGCGUUACAUCUGUUUAUAAUAGUUUAGUGCAGGAGGGAAGAUCCUGAAAGGGUGGAGUUUGUUCAUUUCUUUUGGAUGGGUUGGGAAAAAGGGGCAAAAAAGUCACAGAGAUGUGGGGUGUGGAGGAUCUAAUGAGUUCCCACGGCCUCACUACCCCCAGUUUGCUUGUAGCAGGCCAGCGACUACCCCCCACCACCAGUGUCUCUUAAAGUUAGGUUGCCUCUUCCUUUUUGUGUCUUCUGAACCCAGUUCCUGUUGUGUCCAUGCCAGCUCUCUCAUUUGCAGCUGUACAGUAUAUUGUAUUAAAACUAAAGGAUCCAAAGACCAUGAUAUUUGCUGUAAUUAUAGAAUUAUAGAGAAGUAGCACAGAUGCCUGCAUUUCUUCUGCUAUUACUUGACUUCCAGUAGAUGUAGAAUGUCAUGAGUUUUUUUUUUUAUUACAUUUUUCCCCAUCAUUAUAACAAGUAGGGAUGUGUGACUAAUUUAGACCUGAACAACUUUGUGUCAAUGGCAAACAAAUUAGUUAGUAUUUAUGAGUCUUCGUCCAACUUUUGCCUUUUUCUUUUUUUGUUUUUGUGAAAUUGUAAAUUGCUGCCAUUAAGCUUUAGGUACCGCCCCCUUCCAUUCCUCUUGCAAGGCAUUGACAGAUUUGCGUUGUCUGUUGUAGCAGUGAUCGUGGUAUCUGUUCAAUGUGCCUGCCAACCAAUGCGGGAAAAAAUUUCAUCUCCCACUUCGAAGUUUGGGAAAAGUCUUCAUGCCAGGUGGCAUCACGUUCCUGUUGACAUUCCACUUACGACUUGCAAGUGUCAAAUGAUUUCUUCUCAUAAACCAGUCCAAGUGCUGUACCGUAAGACUAAAAUGAAUCUUCCAAGGGUAUGUCCUUUUAUCGGUGACAAAUCAGUAGGCAUGGUAUCCACUAACCAGAUACCUAGCUGUGGCUGCCUGGCACAGAACUCUGUGUCAGAUGGUCGGGAGAGCGAGUGGGAGGAGCUUCCUUUUGUAGAAGUGCCAUACCCCUAUUGUCGCUAG
This 1144-nucleotide long non-coding RNA is filed under the name Betta splendens (Siamese fighting fish). RNAcentral describes it as "lncRNA (ENSBSLG00000015494.1)". The record is from RNAcentral. Lineage: Eukaryota; Metazoa; Chordata; Actinopteri; Anabantiformes; Osphronemidae.